Molecule: long non-coding RNA, 199 nt
Filed under: Vigna radiata
Lineage: Eukaryota; Viridiplantae; Streptophyta; Magnoliopsida; Fabales; Fabaceae
Description: long non-coding RNA (VRAD_LNC012299)
Source: RNAcentral
GAGGGUAGCCCGACGUAUAUUAGCGGACAGUGGCAUUACCGUAAAUAAGUUGGUAAACACAACGUCGGUUUAAAGAGCAAAUGACGUCUAUUAUAUAGUAGACGUCCGCUCUGCCCUAAACCGACAUCCAAGGGCCUGGAAGAUAGUCUCUUCUGGCCCAUUGACGUCGGUUGUGAUGGGGGACUGACGACUACCUGGC